UACAGAGGUCUCAAGCGUUGUUCGGAUUCAUUGGGCGUAAAGGGUGCGUAGGCGGCGCGGUAAGUCGGGUGUGAAAUCUUGGAGCUUAACUCCGAAACUGCAUUCGAUACUGCCGUGCUUGAGGACUGGAGAGGAGAGUGGAAUUCCUGGUGUAGCGGUGAAAUGCGCAGAUAUCAGGAAGAACACCCGUGGCGAAGGCGGCUCUCUGGGACGGUACUGACGCUGAGACGCGAAAGCGUGGGGAGCAAACAGG
RNAcentral lists this ribosomal RNA (253 nucleotides) under uncultured bacterium. RNAcentral's name for it is "partial 16S ribosomal RNA". It matches the Rfam family "Bacterial small subunit ribosomal RNA", at positions 524 to 776 of the family's 1533-position model. The record is from RNAcentral.